CCUACGGGAGGCAGCAGUGAGGAAUAUUGGUCAAUGGACGAGAGUCUGAACCAGCCAAGUAGCGUGAAGGAUGACUGCCCUAUGGGUUGUAAACUUCUUUUAUAUGGGAAUAAAACAGGGUAUGUAUACCCUCCUGCAUGUAUCAUAUGAAUAAGGAUCGGCUAACUCCGUGCCAGCAGCCGCGGUAAUACGGAGGAUCCGAGCGUUAUCCGGAUUUAUUUGGUUUAAAGGGUGCGUAGGUGGAUGGUUAAGUCAGUUGUGAAAGUUUGCGGCUCAACCGUAAAAGUGCAGUUGAAACUGGCAGUCUUGAGUACAGGAGAGGUAGGCGGAAUGCGCGGUGUAGCGGUGAAAUGCUUAGAUAUCACGAAGAACUCCGAUUGCGAAGGCAGCUCACUGGACUGCAACUGACACUGAGGCACGAAAGUGUGGGUAUCAAACAGGAUUAGAUACCCUAGUAGUC
This 460-nucleotide ribosomal RNA is filed under the name uncultured bacterium. RNAcentral describes it as "partial 16S ribosomal RNA". It matches the Rfam family "Bacterial small subunit ribosomal RNA", at positions 338 to 795 of the family's 1533-position model. The record is from RNAcentral.